Molecule: ribosomal RNA, 253 nt
Filed under: uncultured bacterium
Lineage: Bacteria
Description: partial 16S ribosomal RNA
Rfam family: Bacterial small subunit ribosomal RNA
Source: RNAcentral
UACGUAGGGGGCGAGCGUUGUCCGGAAUUACUGGGCGUAAAGGGCUCGUAGGCGGCCAACUAAGUCAGACGUGAAAUCCCUCGGCUUAACCGGGGAACGGCCUCUGAUACUGGCUGGCUGGAGUUCGGGAGGGGGAUGCGGAAUUCCAGGUGUAGCGGUGAAAUGCGUAGAUAUCUGGAGGAACACCGGUGGCGAAGGCGGCAUCCUGGACCGACACUGACGCUGAGGAGCGAAAGCCAGGGGAGCAAACGGG